RNAcentral lists this ribosomal RNA (433 nucleotides) under uncultured bacterium. Its description in RNAcentral is "partial 16S ribosomal RNA". It matches the Rfam family "Bacterial small subunit ribosomal RNA", at positions 29 to 507 of the family's 1533-position model. The record is from RNAcentral.
AACGAACGCUGGCGGCAUGCCUAACACAUGCAAGUCGAACGAGACCUUCGGGUCUAGUGGCGCACGGGUGCGUAACGCGUGGGAACCUGCCCUUAGGUUCGGAAUAACUCCCCGAAAGGGGUGCGAAUACCGGAUAAUGUCUUCGGACCAAAGAUUUAUCGCCGUUGGAUGGGCCCGCGUUGGAUUAGCUAGUUGGUAGGGUAAAAGCCUACCAAGGCGACGAUCCAUAGCUGGUCUGAGAGGAUGAUCAGCCACACUGGGACUGAGACACGGCCCCGACUCCUACGGGAGGCAGCAGUGGGGAAUAUUGGACAAUGGGCGACAGCCUGAUCCAGCAAUGCCGCGUGAGUGAUGAAGGCCUUAGGGUUGUAAAGCUCUUUUACCCGGGAUGAUAAUGCCAGUCCCGGGAGAAUAAGCUCCGGCUAACUCCGUG